AGUCGAGCGGUAGAGAGAAGCUUGCUUCUCUUGAGAGCGGCGGACGGGUGAGUAAUGCCUAGGAAUCUGCCUAGUGGUGGGGGAUAACGUUCGGAAACGGACGCUAAUACCGCAUACGUCCUACGGGAGAAAGCGGGGGAUCUUCGGACCUCGCGCCAUUAGAUGAGCCUAGGUCGGAUUAGCUAGUUGGUGAGGUAAUGGCUCACCAAGGCGACGAUCCGUAACUGGUCUGAGAGGAUGAUCAGUCACACUGGAACUGAGACACGGUCCAGACUCCUACGGGAGGCAGCAGUGGGGAAUAUUGGACAAUGGGCGAAAGCCUGAUCCAGCCAUGCCGCGUGUGUGAAGAAGGUCUUCGGAUUGUAAAGCACUUUAAGUUGGGAGGAAGGGCAGUAACCUAAUACGUUAUUGUUUUGACGUUACCGACAGAAUAAGCACCGGCUAACUUCGUGCCAGCAGCCGCGGUAAUACGAAAGGGUGCAAGCGUUAAUCGGAAUUACUGGGCGUAAAGCGCGCGUAGGUGGUUCAGUAAGUUGGAAGUGAAAUCCCCGGGGCUCAACCUGGGAACUGCUUUCAAAACUGCUGAGCUAGAGUACGGUAGAGGGUGGUGGAAUUUUCCUGUGGAGCGGUGAAAUGCGUAAAUAUAGGAAGGAACACC
RNAcentral lists this ribosomal RNA (658 nucleotides) under uncultured bacterium. RNAcentral describes it as "bacterial SSU rRNA". It matches the Rfam family "Bacterial small subunit ribosomal RNA", at positions 60 to 710 of the family's 1533-position model. The record is from RNAcentral.